This 253-nucleotide ribosomal RNA is filed under the name uncultured bacterium. RNAcentral's name for it is "partial 16S ribosomal RNA". It matches the Rfam family "Bacterial small subunit ribosomal RNA", at positions 524 to 776 of the family's 1533-position model. The record is from RNAcentral.
UACGAAGGGGGCUAGCGUUGCUCGGAAUGACUGGGCGUAAAGGGCGCGUAGGCGGCUUUAUAAGUCGGGGGUGAAAGCCUGUGGCUCAACCACAGAAUUGCCUUCGAUACUGUAGAGCUUGAGACCGGAAGAGGUAAGUGGAACUGCGAGUGUAGAGGUGAAAUUCGUAGAUAUUCGCAAGAACACCAGUGGCGAAGGCGGCUCACUGGCCCGAAACUGACGCUGAGGCACGAAAGCGUGGGGAGCAAACAGG